GAUGAACGCUGGCGGCGUGCCUAAUACAUGCAAGUCGAGCGAACAGAUGAGGAGCUUGCUCCUCUGACGUUACCGGCGGACGGGUGAGUAACACGUGGAUAACCUACCUAUAAGACUGGGAUAACUUCGGGAAACCGGAGCUAAUACCGGAUAAUAUAUUGAACCGCAUGGUUCAAUAGUGAAAGACGGUUUUGCUGUCACUUAUAGAUGGAUCCGCGCCGCAUUAGCUAGUUGGUAAGGUAACGGCUUACCAAGGCAACGAUGCGUAGCCGACCUGAGAGGGUGAUCGGCCACACUGGAACUGAGACACGGUCCAGACUCCUACGGGAGGCAGCAGUAGGGAAUCUUCCGCAAUGGGCGAAAGCUUGACGGAGCAACGCCGCGUGAGUGAUGAAGGUCUUCGGAUCGUAAAACUCUGUUAUUAGGGAAGAACAAAUGUGUAAGUAACUAUGCACGUCUUGACGGUACCUAAUCAGAAAGCCACGGCUAACUACGUG
This 497-nucleotide ribosomal RNA is filed under the name uncultured bacterium. RNAcentral describes it as "partial 16S ribosomal RNA". It matches the Rfam family "Bacterial small subunit ribosomal RNA", at positions 28 to 507 of the family's 1533-position model. The record is from RNAcentral.